UAGGGAAUUUUCCACAAUGGGCGAAAGCCUGAUGGAGCAACGCCGCGUGCAGGAUGAAGGCCUUCGGGUCGUAAACUGCUUUUAUGUGUGACGAUUAUGACAGUAGCGCAUGAAUAAGGGUCGGCUAACUACGUGCCAGCAGCCGCGGUCAUACGUAGGACCCAAGCGUUAUCCGGAGUGACUGGGCGUAAAGAGUUGCGUAGGUGGCAUAUUAAGCGAGUAGUGAAAUCGUUCCGCUCAACGGGACGGCUAUUACUUGAACUGAUAAGCUAGAGUAUGGAAGAGGUAACUGGAAUUCCAAGUGUAGGAGUGAAAUCCGUAGAUAUUUGGAGGAACACCGAUGGCGUAGGCAGGUUACUGGUCCAUUACUGACACUAAGGCACGAAAGCGUGGGGAGCAAACGGGAUUAGAUACCCAAGUAGUCCCUGAGCGGGCUGGCAAGGCGCAU
This 448-nucleotide ribosomal RNA is filed under the name uncultured bacterium. RNAcentral describes it as "bacterial SSU rRNA". It matches the Rfam family "Bacterial small subunit ribosomal RNA", at positions 355 to 825 of the family's 1533-position model. The record is from RNAcentral.